AGCAGGAUUGUAGUGGGCUGGGCCUUACUGGGCUGGGGCAAGAUUUAGUCUUGAGGAGGAGCGUGGGGUGCUAGAUGGAUAACUACGUCCCGAACUGGUUCCUAUGUUUUUCUAGGGCAUAUGGACUAGGGAUGGGUACUUGAGCAGAAGCCAGCAACUAGAACGAAGAGUUUGUGCAGGAGUUACCUGCAUGAUCGGAAAUUACUGUCCUGUAUGCUCAACAAGGUAUUCGGACUGGGUGUCCACACAACAGCUCUCAGGACUGGAGGGUGGAAAUUUAAUCUACAAAGUUCCCUUAAACUGCAAAAGCUUCGGGACCUCUUGAUUCACUGAUAUUUUCUGGUGGACCCCGGGCUUAUUAAUGUUAAAACCUGUUUUUCAUUACUAUCAGAAAAAAAUAACAGCUCCAUUAAUGAAAUGCAGCAUUUGGUAAAUGAUGUUAAAUGGAAUGAUAGAAACCUAACUUUAACCAACCAGAUGAGUCAUUUCUACUAUUACCAAGAGUACUGUAGGUUUUUAAAGCCAAAAUUACUGUCUGAUACAGUUGCUGUAUAUUUGAAAAGUUUUGGGUUUUGGGGGAGAGGGGUUUGAUCAUUUUAUAUUCAAAAUGUCUAAUCUGACUCAUGGUUUUGCUGUCCAUUUAUUAUGAACUGUACUUCCUCAUUUACCUACUUGCCCAAGUGCUGUUAUGUUUGGGUUUCUGACUCUGCAAGGGAGUAUGUGAGUGCCUACUAAAGUUUGUCAUCUUCCUGUUUUAAAGAAACAGCUGUUUUAGGGAUAGAUAUGUACAUUUAGAAGCUGAAAUUGUAAUACUUUUAAAUAGCAAACUUAAUAUAAAGUGAAAUACACAUUUGUUGACUGUAAGGUUGAAUUUGCCCUAAAUUAACUCUAAUUAGUAAGCUUAUGAGUUAUUGCGCUUAAAUCCCCUACUCGGUUGAAACGCCCCAUUGCAAAUACCAUAUUUUCUUUUUUUUUUUUUUUUUGUGGGAGUUUUUUGGUAUUGUCUAAUUAAAGCAAGAGCUUAAGAAACAAGGAUAUUGCUUAAGAUAAUAUCUGUAAAUACUGAAGCUAAAAAUAGGUUAUCAAGAAUUGAGUUAAUAAACAAAGAUUGGGAGGGGCUCUGACUUCAGUAUAAGAUAAUGUCUGUAUUGGAGUUUAUAAUCUGUAUGCUAAUUGAACCUUCAUUUCCAUAAUAUUAGAAUAUAAUAACAAUGUUUUCCUGUUGGUUGUACUCUUAUGGCCCAGUUUCUUUUACUGUAAGAAUAUAUGUUCAGAACAGCGAUCUCUGAGGAACCAUAAAAAGAAAUUUAACAGUGGUGUGAUCUCUGCUCACGGUAAUCUCAGCCUUCUUGGCAAAAAAAAAAGAAAUUUAAAAAUAUAUAUUAAAAAAUAUAUAUAUGUUCUUGGAGCCAUUGUUUGAAUCCCAAUUCUGCCACUUUACUAGCUGUGUUAUGUGUCUUUUGGGACAUGGAGUUGACAAUGCCUAGAGUUCCUCAUCUGUAAAAUGGAGACAAUAACAGUACUUCCUCCUUGGGCUACUAUGAAAUUUGAAUAAGUGAAUACAUUUUAGAAGCCCUGAGAGUUGGGCAUUGCUCUCAGUGCCCUGAGAGCAGCCACUUGCCACCUGUUGGCUGUUACUAACAUGGGCGUUAAAGCCAAGGUUAUACUACUUCCUUUAUUCAAUAGGUAGGUUUCUUUUAAAAAAACACUUGUAUGCUUUUAUAAAAUAAAUCGUAUUUUGAAACUAAGCCAGUCACUGACAUUUGGAUCUCAGUCCACUAAAAUAUUUUCUGAUAAGCUAGGGAGUCAAUAUAGGUUUGACUUUAUAUUGGCAAGGGCAUUAAAAGGGAACAAUUAGCAUAGACUAUCCCCAUCAUUUAUUAAAAUGUAUUUUAACCUCAGAAAUGGGGAAGAUCCAUUUUUGAAUAAAUGACAGUUUCUUGAAUUUACCAGCCUCAGGAUGAACAAUGCAUCACACUGAUUUUUCUCAUUUCACUCUGAACUUAAGGAGACGUCACAGGCCAGCAUUUAGGAACUCACUACAUUAAGUUAAUUGUUUCUUGGAUUUGGGUAUACUGUGUGUCAGGCUGCAUGUGCCCGAAUAGAUUAACCAACUAAAGAGAAACUUGGUGUGUUUCGUCUAGACUAUAAGGUUAGGGAACAAGCUUGAAGGUUAUAUGACAUGCAGAGGGUACACAUCCAGUGAGCAGCACAACUCUGAAACCGUGUCUUUGUCUGCCUGGGUAUACAGCCAAUGCUGUUAGCCACCGCACUCCAGGAAAGGGAAAAUUGAACUGGAAACCUUUACAGAUUAUCUAAUUCAAUGUCCCCAACCCUUCCUUACAAAUGACACAGAUGUUCGCCAGCACUAGGAUCCCAGAAUUUCUACUCUUCGGUCAAGGUUUUCCCAUUAGUCACCGUGUGUCUCUAAGUACAACUGUUUUGUUGUUUUUGUUUUUGUUUUUGUUUUGAGAUGUAGUCUCCCACUGUCACCCAGGCUGGGGUGCGACGGCGAAACCUCGGUUCACUGUAACCUCCACCUCCCAGGUUCAAAUGAUUCUCUGGCCUCUGCCUCCCAAGUAGCUGGAAUUACAGGCGCACACCACCACGAUCUGCUAAUUUUUUUUUUUUUUUUUUUUUGAGACGGAGUUUCACUCUUGUUACCCAGGCUGGAGUGCAAUUGGCGCGAUCUCGGCUCACCGCAACCUCCGCCUCCUGGGUUCAGGCAAUUCUCCUGCCUCAGCCUCCCGAGUAGCUGGGAUUACAGGCACGUGCCACCCUGCCCAGCUAAUUUUUUGUGUGUUUUUAGUAGAGAUGGGGUUUCACCAUGUUGACCAGGAUGGUCUCGAUCAUCUGACCUCGUUAUCCACCGGCCUCGGCCUCCCAAAGUGCUGGGAUUACAGGCGUCAGCUACCGCGCCCGACCCAUACAGCUGAUUUUUCAAAAUGGAUUCACUAUAGGAUCCUUUUAAGUAACAAAUUUCCAUAAUGCCCUUCAGUUGUAAUUUGAUAUAGUAGAAUUUCAUCUAUAUACUUUUUUUUCCAGAUAUCAUGUAUGUCGUAAACGGGGACACCCUAAUGCUCUAAAUAGUAUGUCCGAGAGUGUAAUAUUAGCUUGCUCUUUUGAAUGAACUCGAAUUGUGCAGAUUUCCCUGAUGGGAAAAAGGCAAGAAAUUCUGAAAUACUUAAUACAUAUAUAUUUCAGCCAUUUGAGUGAAAAUGCUAUAAUUCUGGAAAUUGUUUCACAGCUCAAUUCUAAACCUAUGGCUUUUCUGAUUUACAUGGUGCAACCCACCUUAAAAAAACAUGAACAGAAGGAGAGUUGAACAUUAGAAAAUAAAAAGAUCAUUUAUGUCCUGUCCUCCACUUACAUCUAUCCCUUCCCCAUUUGUCUUCAAUGUUAUUUUUGAAAUCCUGAUGUGCAUGUGUGGCAGCACUGAAGAAAUGAAAGGAACCACUAAGUCUCCUUUUAGGUUUUACAUUCUAGGCAGUUGUCCAUCGAUUCUAGAACCAUUAGGCAAGUGUUUGGCCGCUUUGAAGUUAGUUUUGGGUUUAAGUUUCAGGCCCAUCACUCACUAGAUGAGUUUCAGUGAAACACCUUAUCUUGUGAGUCAGUUUUCCAUCAGUUAUAAAAUACUAACCUGACAGGAUUAUUAUGGGUAUCAAAUCAAAAUGUAUUUAUGCUUUGAAAACAAAAAAGCAAAGACAGAAAAGAACAAUGUCAUCAACAUUUUUUUAAAAAUUACCCUUUGUUUGUUUUUGCCAUUUUCUAUUAGCAUAAUUAUAUGUUUUUAGUGUGUGAUAAAACUAUAAACAUCUUUCUUGAUUUCAGAGUAUGGAAAUGCUGGAAGAUAAUUUUCCAUUGAUCUCUUGCAUAUCUUGCAAGUGAGGCACUGAUUUCCUUUAUUACAGACUAUUUUUCCAAGGAUUUUUAUAUAAUAACCUUGGAAGACAGAGAAAAUGUCUCUUUACGGAGCAAACAGCAGGCAUGCUUACUAUUCCGUAUAAAAGAUUCCCUAACUUUUGGGUUUCUCCACUGUAACACAAUCAAUUUUAUGUGGAGCUCUCUAUCUGGGCUUGUCCCUGUUGCCCUGUGGGAAGUGGGCCUUGCGGUACUGGUGAAAAGGCUGAUACUCUGUCUACUUCUCUUGCUGUAGGGAAUAAAGCCUCCUGUCUCUGCCCCAGGAGUCUUGUGUCUUCUAAUGAUCAUCAUACUCUGUGGCAGGCUAAUUUGUUAGCCCGCAAAAAGUAAAAUCUCAGGCCCUUCACCAUUCUCGACAGGAAGUUGGAAUGUAAAAUGGGGAAUGAUUUUUCCUUCUAUCAUGACUUGAGACAAUUUUUACAAAAUAUGUAUCAACUUUUUGAGAAUGGGCAGUAUAUUGUGAUUAAUCUUACAGAUUCUGUAGCCAGGCUGUUUGGGUUCUAAUCCUGAAUAGUGGUCUUUUUUAGUUUGGAUUCCCAAAAACAGACCCUGAGACACAGAUAUGAGUGAAAAUAGUUUAUUUGGAAGGUGAUCUUAGGAAUCACUGAUGGAAACUGAGGAAGUAGGAAAGGAAAGAGGAGACAGACAAUAAAUGAUGAAUUUUCAAGUGAGUUAUGACUGUGGAUAGCUAGAGUUUAAUCUUAUUUGGGAACUCUUGUAGCCAAUACAGAACAUGUACUUUGGAUUUUCCCACUUGAGGGGUGAGGGAGCUGGAUAUUAUACACUAAAUCACAUGAGUCCUUGCUUGAGGGACCCUGGAAGAGGGUAGGUACUGAUUCUAGUUCUGGAUUUUGGGGUCUGCCUUGCACAACACAAAAUAGACUUCCACAGGACCUGGCAGGUAGGUGUGAGAUUCGGGUGUGCGUUAUAUUAAUAAGGCCAAGGGAACAUAGCUGGCACAAUCACAGCUUUUGUUAUCGAUACCCUCCAGCAGUAUAGUCUUAUGAAGUUACUCGAUCUGUUUAUGCCCCUGUUCUCUCGUCUGUACAAUGGGAAUAAUAGCAUCAACCACAUAGAGUUGAUGAAACAAUUAAAAAUCCAGCCUGUGUAAAACACUUAAAACAAGCCAUAGUCUUUCAUAAUACUGUUGUUUUAAAAACAACAGUACUGCUGAACAGUAUAGUAUGGUUUUUAAAAAAUACUGCUGUUUAUUGUUGUAGAAGAACGUGACCUUUUGUAUUUAUUGAGAUUUUUUCUGUCUCAUUCUCUAGCAUUCUGGAGAUUGACUUUUAAUUCCUUAACAUCAUGGAAUUUUAUUUUAUUAAUAUUACAUGCCUGAGAUUGAAUCGUCUAUAUUCCAGCUCAUUUAUGGAAGGUCAUCCCCUUAUUGAGACCAGCUCAAAAGACCCUCAGGAACUUAGAAGACUCCUGCUGACUUUGAAGAUCAUAGUCCCAAAGCAGGUCCUGAAAUGCAGCAGCAAAGAAGAGCAUCACCGUCAAAGCUCAACUUCCAUCAGAAUGGUACGACUUCACUUAUCCAGGGGAAUAUCUCAGUAACCAUCUCAGCAUGUGCCUGUACGCCAACUUGAAGCAUAGUAUAUAUUACCUGCAACCAAAAACAUGCUCAGGAGAAGCUCUUUGGCUGGUACUAAUGCUGGAGAAAGACUCUGCGGCAAACACCUUUUCUUCUGAGUCUUGCUUCUUAAUUGGAGAACAUGCCAGUGACUUAAGAGUUCCCUGAGCUUCUAGAAUUCUGCUCUUUGGGUAUCUUUUCCCAGCUUUCCAGGGAUCAUUUACAGCAGACGAGCAAACUGGUGAGGAAACGGAAUAGCGUCUAACAAUCAUGACAUUGCCUGUACAAAAGACACAAAAUUCAACUUAAAAAAAUUCUACCCUAAUGACACUCACAAACAAAAAAUGAUAGAAUUUAUUGAAACUUACUAGACAGAACUAUUGUUUCUCAUUUUUUUUGCAUAAAAGAUACCCAUUCGUUGAUUUAUUUUAGAAAUAUUCAUUGAGUGCCAACCAUAUGUCAGGAUCUUUUUUAAGAGAUGGGAAUAUUGUAGAGAACAGCAUAACAUUCCAGAGUUCGCCUUUUUAUGUGAGACACAGGCAGUAAACAAACAAUAUGUGACACACUUUAUGUAGUAAUACAUUCUAGGAUGACAAAUAAAGCUGAUGAGGACAAGGGGAGAGAGACAGAUGCAGGGAGGUGUUCUGAGGCUACUUCAGUUGUGUGCCAGGGAAGACCUUUCUGAGAAUACAGCAUUAGAACAGGGACUUGACAUACGCAGAUAAUAAAAAAAGACCUUAAGAUUGGGAAAACAGGAAUCUUUCAGACAUGCCAAUUCUUGAUGGUCUUCUUAUUCCUGAUUCUAGAAGAACAGGCUUAUCCGCAGUGUCUGAUCACCUGAAUGACCACAGUAGUUUAACUGGUUGGUGCUAACUGGCCUAUCUAUGAAUGCAUGUCUUGGCCUUAGUUGGGAUAGUCAU
Molecule: long non-coding RNA, 6414 nt
Organism: Callithrix jacchus (white-tufted-ear marmoset)
Lineage: Eukaryota; Metazoa; Chordata; Mammalia; Primates; Cebidae
Source: RefSeq, a predicted model, not a curated record